Long non-coding RNA from Ornithodoros turicata, 543 nucleotides. RefSeq lists it as uncharacterized. Lineage: Eukaryota; Metazoa; Arthropoda; Arachnida; Ixodida; Argasidae. The transcript is spliced from 3 exons. The record is from RefSeq and is a predicted model, not a curated record.
GGCGAAACGAAACUUGUGAAUCGUGCAUUUGCUCUUCAUGGUAGCUGCCAAAAAAUCGAAUCAAACUUAUGGGACACUGGAUUACAGGUUGCUGCCACUACUCCAUGUGCCCGCAAUUGUCUUGCGUGUAUGAUUACACUAACGGCGUCGCCCACCACGGCGGAAGUGUUUUGCGUACACGCGUUUCAGCAUGAAGCCUGCAGGUGGACGUAAAUUGUAGAAGGCAGCUAGUGGGGGAGAAGAUCAUGGUCAUAGGUCAUGUGACUCCUGGAGCUCCCAGUGGGCUCCCUUGUGGAGUACUUUUCAGAACACACACACAUACAGUUUGCUCACAGAACCAACGAGUAGGAUGUUGCUUGAAUACUGAGAGAAAAUGGCGUAACACAUACAAAUAUCGUGUGACACAUAUGACAAUAAAAACAUUUUUCACGAGGGAUGCAUGAAACACUGUCGCAAUAUUGUGUGCAUGAACCAUUGUGUGUGACACAAGCCGUGGGGGCACACCGCCUCGGACACAUUUUGGGAAGCAUAAAACACAGUAUA